GACUAAAUAUUUAAAAAAUAAAUAGGAUCGCUAUGGUUUCAAACUUUAUUUUUAUUCGAGCAAUAGUGUGGUUACAGGAAGAUUUGCUAUGCUAUGCCACAAAAGACGUUAGGCUUGCAUACAUAUAUCGAAAUAAGGCGAAGAUGGUUCCAACGAUUUUGGGCUGUGAUUAUGAGAUUGAGGAAGUCACAUCGAUGAUUACUGUAAAGUGUGGGUUCGAAGAAGUUCUCCCGCUGUGACCGUGAGUUGAAAUAAGCCACAAGUUCUAAUAAUUUUAAAAUAUUUUAAAUUUACUCUUAUGGCAGCCCUAUUUUAGGAACCAGAUUAACACUUCAUAUGUGGCUUCUUCGGAUCCGAACAAGCGGUAUAACUUCCCCAAUGGAACCCAGGUGCAGUGUAUCCUGACCGAAAUGUAUCCCAGACCCAGUCUUAAAAUCAUAUCCCAAACUGGGAAAGUUAUGAAAGAGGAGUCUAGUGCCCAGGAAUACGAGGAUGGCUAUUUCAAUGCCACUGCGGCUGCGGACGUAAAUGAGAC
This is a long non-coding RNA of Drosophila gunungcola (fruit fly), 535 nucleotides long. RefSeq lists it as uncharacterized. The transcript has 3 exons. NCBI's taxonomy places the organism in Eukaryota, Metazoa, Arthropoda, Insecta, Diptera, Drosophilidae. The record is from RefSeq and is a predicted model, not a curated record.